This 202-nucleotide long non-coding RNA is filed under the name Malus domestica (apple). RNAcentral's name for it is "long non-coding RNA (MDOM_LNC007528)". The record is from RNAcentral. Lineage: Eukaryota; Viridiplantae; Streptophyta; Magnoliopsida; Rosales; Rosaceae.
AUGAAGAAUCAUGGAUGAUGGAAUGGCUAAGGGUUCUUCUCCACACAUGAAAUAUAUGCAACGUAAAUCAAUUUCCAGUUAUCAAUUCAAUAAGUUAUGAACCUCAAACACUCCAAGUUAAUUAGGUCUGCUUAAAUUAACCUUCAGAUUUCCCUAGGAUCAUUGAAUUGGAUGAAUAUGCAUCGCAAACAAAUUAUUCCUA